UACGUAGGGUGCGAGCGUUAAUCGGAUUUACUGGGCGUAAGCGUGCGCAGGCGGCCCGUUAAGACAGGUGUGAAAUCCCUGGGCUCAACCUAGGAAUUGCGCUUGUGACUGGCGGGCUCGAGUACGGUAGAGGGGGGUGGAAUUCCUGGUGUAGCAGUGAAAUGCGUAGAGAUCAGGAGGAACACCGAUGGCGAAGGCAGCCCCCUGGGCCUGUACUGACGCUCAUGCACGAAAGCGUGGGGAGCAAACAGG
RNAcentral lists this ribosomal RNA (252 nucleotides) under uncultured microorganism. RNAcentral describes it as "partial 16S ribosomal RNA". It matches the Rfam family "Bacterial small subunit ribosomal RNA", at positions 524 to 776 of the family's 1533-position model. The record is from RNAcentral.